Molecule: non-coding RNA, 106 nt
Organism: Canis lupus familiaris (dog)
Lineage: Eukaryota; Metazoa; Chordata; Mammalia; Carnivora; Canidae
Source: Rfam
GUGCUCCCUUCAGCAGCACAUAUACUAGAAUUAAAGUGAUACAGGGAUUAGCAUGGCUCCAGGGCAAGGAUGACACACACAAAUUUGUGAAGUGUUCCCUUUUUUU